RNAcentral lists this ribosomal RNA (476 nucleotides) under uncultured bacterium. RNAcentral's name for it is "partial 16S ribosomal RNA". It matches the Rfam family "Bacterial small subunit ribosomal RNA", at positions 28 to 523 of the family's 1533-position model. The record is from RNAcentral.
GACGAACGCUGGCGGCGUGCUUAACACAUGCAAGUCGAACGGUAAGGCCUUCGGGUACACGAGUGGCGAACGGGUGAGUAACACGUGGGUGAUCUGCCCUGCACUUUGGGAUAAGCCUGGGAAACUGGGUCUAAUACCGGAUAGGACUACGCACUGCAUGGUGUGUGGUGGAAAGCUUUUGCGGUGUGGGAUGGGCCCGCGGCCUCUCAGCUUGUUGGUGGGGUGAUGGCCUACCAAGGCGACGACGGGUAGCCGGCCUGAGAGGGUGUCCGGCCACACUGGGACUGAGAUACGGCCCAGACUCCUACGGGAGGCAGCAGUGGGGAAUAUUGCACAAUGGGCGCAAGCCUGAUGCAGCGACGCCGCGUGGGGGAUGACGGCCUUCGGGUUGUAAACCUCUUUCAGCACAGACGAAGCGCGAGUGACGGUAUGUGCAGAAGAAGGACCGGCCAACUACGUGCCAGCAGCCGCCGUAA